This 16-nucleotide ribosomal RNA is filed under the name Fraxinus schiedeana. RNAcentral's name for it is "Fraxinus dubia partial 26S ribosomal RNA". Lineage: Eukaryota; Viridiplantae; Streptophyta; Magnoliopsida; Lamiales; Oleaceae. The record is from RNAcentral.
UUGCACUUCGACAGCG